CCUACGGGAGGCAGCAGUGAGGAAUAUUGGUCAAUGGGCGAAAGUCUGAACCAGCCAAGUCGCGUGAAGGAUGACUGCCCUAUGGGUUGUAAACUUCUUUUAUAUGGGAAUAAAAUGUUCCACGUGUGGGAUUUUGUAUGUACCAUAUGAAUAAGGAUCGGCUAACUCCGUGCCAGCAGCCGCGGUAAUACGGAGGAUACGCGCGUUAUCCGGAUUUAUUGGGUUUAAAGGGAGCGUAGGUGGGUUGUUAAGUCAGUUGUGAAAGUUUGCGGCUCAACCGUAAAAUUGCAGUUGAAACUGGAAGUCUUGAGUACAGGAGAGGUAGGCGGAAUUCGUGGUGUAGCGGUGAAAUGCUUAGAUAUCACGAAGAACUCCGAUUGCGAAGGCAGCUUACUGGACUGCAACUGACACUGAGGCUCGAAAGUGUGGGUAGCAAACAGGAUUAGAUACCCGAGUAGUC
RNAcentral lists this ribosomal RNA (460 nucleotides) under uncultured bacterium. RNAcentral's name for it is "partial 16S ribosomal RNA". It matches the Rfam family "Bacterial small subunit ribosomal RNA", at positions 338 to 795 of the family's 1533-position model. The record is from RNAcentral.